RNAcentral lists this ribosomal RNA (430 nucleotides) under uncultured bacterium. RNAcentral describes it as "bacterial SSU rRNA". It matches the Rfam family "Bacterial small subunit ribosomal RNA", at positions 335 to 758 of the family's 1533-position model. The record is from RNAcentral.
ACUCCUACGGGAGGCAGCAGUGGGGAAUAUUGCACAAUGGGGAAACCCUGAUGCAGCCAUGCCGCGUGUGUGAAGAAGGCCUUCGGUUGUAAAGCACUUUCAGUAGGGAGGAAGGUAGUGUAGUUAACACCUGCAUUAUUUGACGUUACCUACAGAAGAAGCACCGGCUAACUCCGUGCCAGCAGCCGCGGUAAUACGGAGGGGUGCGAGCGUUAAUCGGAAUUACUGGGCGUAAAGCGCAUGCAGGCGGCCUGUUAAGUCAGAUGUGAAAGCCCGGGGGCUUAACCUCGGAAUUGCAUUUGAAACUGGCAGGCUAGAGUCUUGUAGAGGGGGUAGAAUUUCAGGUGUAGCGGUGAAAUGCGUAGAGAUCUGAAGGAAUACCAGUGGCGAAGGCGGCCCCCUGGACAAAGACUGACGCUCAGAUGCGAAA